Molecule: RNA transcript, 5839 nt
Organism: Bubalus bubalis (water buffalo)
Lineage: Eukaryota; Metazoa; Chordata; Mammalia; Artiodactyla; Bovidae
Gene: TATDN2
Gene name: TatD DNase domain containing 2
Exons: 9
Source: RefSeq, a predicted model, not a curated record
CAAUGGACGAGCUUCGUAAGGCGAAGGGUUCCGCCUCCAGACUUACUGACCAACAGAGGAGCUCCGUCUUGCCCGGAGCUCCGCCCCUUGUUGAUCUGAGCAAUGGGCGCCCUCUCUUCAGCGCAGGACCCGCCCUCGCCGCACGCCGGGCUGCGGGCCGUACAACUCGUUCCGGUAGGCGGGUCCAGCAGAGGCCGGUGUGGUCCCAGCUCCGGCGGAGGCAGGGCCGGCCCCGCAGGAUUGGGGCGGACGGCAAGCCGGCGGCCAGGGCAGGGCGUCAGGUUGCGGAGCCGACGUCCGGGCGGCGAGAGCAGGAACGGGAUACGGGCAGACCCGGGGAUAUUCUGAGCAGGCGGACCCGGGCGCCGCCGGCUGAGCGGCGGCUCGCCCCCUUCCGGCCCAGGGCUGGUCGGCUGGGCCUCGAGCGCAGGGCGGGCUGCGUGCCGGUCUGGCACUGCUCUGCGGCCCGCGCUCGGCGUUCCGGGCCUCCCGGCCGCGGGCCCGCCCAGGGGCUGCAGGACUGGCCUCCAAGUGUGGACCUAACAGCGCCCUGUAGCCGUUUGAAGCGCUGACAUCUGCGAAGGGCUUUGUAUUGCAAACUCAGUCAGAGCGCGUCGUAGUUCCGGAAGCGCUUUGACAUCCCCGAAGUAGCGCUGUGCAAACUGAAGCUCUUGGUAAUCGCGGAAGCACGUUGUGGGCUCGGAAACCUAAUCGAAGGAAACCUUUAGUAAAUCCUGGGACCUUCUGGACUUCGGAGCGCUUUGCUAUCGCCGACAUAGGAAGCGCUUUAGCGUCUCUGAAACCUUGAGAACUGUGAUGGGCAGUGGAAAAAGGGAAAGGUGCCCAUGGCGUCGGAGCGGCGCAAGGUCAAGUACCACUGGAGCAGCACUUCGGAUCGGAGUUCCCGCAAGCGCAGCUGCCUCCGGGAGCCCAGUGAUGUGGCCCCCUCCAGCCGCCCAGCUCACAGCUCUGUGUCGCGUUCAGGAGGGGCCAGCAGCCCCAAGCGCCUGAAAGCCCAGAAAGAGGACGAUGUGUCCUGGGGCUCAUCCCGCCACAAAAGUUCCACCUCCUCCUCGCAUUCCCGCCGCAGAAGUUCCACCUCCUCCUCCUCCUCCCAUUCCUCUGGCCCAGGUGCGGGUGGGGCCGCCUGCAAACGAGGCCUGAUUCCGAGCUCACAGGGGUUCCUUUCGUCAGGGGGAUCCCCUCUGCGCUCUGUCAGAUCUUCUCUAGAAGAAAUGGCUUCUCUCGAGGAAGAAGCCUGCAGCCUUAAGGUUGAUUCCAAAGAUAGCCCUCGUAGCUCCGUGGAUUCUGAAUUGGCAGCGGAAGCGGAGGGUCAAAAUGGUACAAUGGAGGAACCACACAAGGUCCAGAAAAGGCAGAGGGAUAGACUUCGAGACCAGGGCUCCGCCAUGAUCUACCUAAAGGCCAUCCAGGGCAUCCUGGGAAAGUCAAUGCCAAAGAGGAAGGGAGAGGCGGCCCCACGGGCAAAACCCCACAUCGCAGAGCACCCCCGCCGCGGAGAGGGACCAGCCGGGAGUGUCAGUGUGGCUGCUCCUCAGAAAGAGAAAGAGUCCACCCCAGAGGUCAGAGCAGAGGAGGAGGACACUGUGCUGGAGAAGAGCAGCUUCUGUGACAGGAGGGUGGUGAUAGACCCUCAGGAGAGCCCCAGUGAGGAGCCCGUGGGUGGUCGAAGGAUGGUCAUCGAAGAGUGCUCUCCACUCCUGGAGUUUCUGGAUGACUCUGACUCGCAUUUGAAUGGCCAGAAGCCUAAGGACCGGGAGGUGGUGAUGGAGCGCACCUCUUCAGGAAGUGACUGGUCCGACGUGGACGAGAUUUCCACGGCCAGGUUCUCUCAGGAGGAGCCCGUCCCACUAAAACCCUCCACAGUUCCAGAGGCUUCUGCCUUCCCCACGGACUAUGUCAUGUACCCGGCUCACUUGUACAGCAGUCCCUGGUGUGACUACGCCAGCUACUGGGCCAGCGGUCCCAAGACCCCCGGGUACCCGUCCGUGGGCAGUGGCGGCAGCGACACGAUGCAGGCGGGCAGGAGCGGCCGGGGCGCUUCCCCCGCCUCGACGGUGAGCCCCCCGCUCACCUCCAGGGAGCCUGAGGCUGCCAAGGAAGGCAGAUCCCGGAAGUCUCGUUCAUCUCGUUUCUCCAGAAGCUCAGAAGGACACGUGAAGGAGAAAAGAACAUUCCAGGAGGACGUGCUGCCCCGUCCAGGUGAGGAACCUGCGUCUAGCUCCCUGCCCAGGAGCCGUCGGGAGCCCAGGCUGGAGGGUUUCAUCGACACCCAUUGUCACUUGGACAUGCUGUAUUCCAAGCUGUCAUUCAAAGGGACCUUCAGCAAGUUCAGGAAGAUUUACAGCAGCUCCUUCCCUAAGGAGUUUCAGGGCUGCAUCUCUGAUUUCUGCGAUCCUCGCACCCUGACGGAUGGCCUCUGGGAGGACCUGUUGCAGGAGGAUCUGGUGUGGGGUGCCUUUGGCUGUCACCCGCAUUUUGCACGUUACUACAGUGAGAGUCAAGAAAGGAAUCUUCUGCAGGCCUUGAGGCACCCCAAGGCCGUGGCAUUCGGGGAGAUGGGCUUGGAUUACUCUCACAAGUGCACCACGCCUGUCCCAGAGCAGCACAAGGUGUUUGAGAGGCAGCUACAGCUGGCCGUGUCUCUGAGGAAGCCCUUGGUGAUCCACUGCCGGGAAGCUGAUGAAGAUCUGCUGAAAAUCAUGAAAAAACUUGUGCCUCCAGACUACAAGAUUCACAGGCACUGCUUCACCGGCAGCUACCCAGUCAUCGAGCCCCUGCUGGACCACUUUCCCAACAUGUCCGUGGGCUUCACAGCUGUCCUGACCUACUCCUCCGCCUGGGAGGCCCGGGAAGCUCUGAAACAGAUCCCACUGGAGAGGAUCAUCGUAGAGACAGACGCUCCCUAUUUCCUGCCUCGACAGGUUCCCAAGAGCCUUUGCCAGUACGCCCACCCGGGCCUGGCCUUGCACACGGUUCGAGAGAUCGCCAGGGUCAAAGACCUGCCGCUCGCCAGCACCUUGGCCACCCUGCGUGAGAACACCCGCCGCCUCUACAGUCUUUAAGCAGGGAGGGUGCCACCAGGAGUCUCCUAGGAAAGGAUGACCAGCGGCCUGACAGGAGAAAGGCCGCGUGAGCUCUGCCUGUGGGUCCCCGCUCGAGGAUGUUGGAGAGCCAGCUGGGACAGAGGAAACCCGGACAGGGUGUUUCCUGAGACCUCCUCGGAGGCCUCUGCUUCAGGCUGGGGAGGGUGGGGUGGGGUGCAGUGGGUGGGCGAGGGGCUUGGGCUGGCCUCCCAACCGUGGUGCUCCAGGGCGACCCGGGCAGAAGAAGCAGAGGGUGUAAGGGCGCAGCAAACUCACCCACUCCGAGCUUGUCUCUGCGGCUUGGGCGCAAGCAGUCUGUGUGUGAAGUCACACUGCUCCUCGUUUAGUGCGCGUGAGCCAGCGGUGUGGUUCCUGGUUCUCCACUCUAAACACAAAUCCCGAGUGGGAAAUCUCUGGGGGACGUUGGCCGGAGACCUGUCUUGGAGGCUGAUGCUCCUGUGGCCGGUGAAGGAGCCCCUCGCUCCCCUGGAUAACCUUCAGUCUGGCCCACACCGUCGCCAGUGUCGGUUCCGCGUCAGCACGGCAGAAGGACCUCAGCUGCGGUCUCGCUGGUUCCACUGCUGUUGACACAGAGAGGGCCAAGGGGCGUCCAUUGUCCAGGGCAAGUCCUGGCUGAGGGAACCCUGGAUUGAUUGGAAGACCUAAGGAGGAAGCCUAUUUGAGGACAAGGACCCCAGGGAAGGUGUUCUUCCCCCUUUCUAAGGCCCCCAGGGCUGCAGCUCAGUUAGGUUGAACUAACCGCUAAGGGUCCAGUCUGCCGCAGAAACUGUCUGCUAGCCUGCCCGCGGGGCUCUCAGCCCCGCUGGCCUCCACUUUGCCCCCCUCUCCUGCAGCACUGGACCAAAAAUAUUCCUUCUGUUCCAUCUCUCGUAACGGCCCCUUGUGCGCCCCACCCAGGUCGAGAGGUAAACCAGUUUAAUUCUCCAAAGCUCUGCUGGCGCCGCCCAGCCCUGUCCAUUGCCUAUGCAGAACAAGAGGCCUGGUGUCCAUGAAUCUCCCAUUUCCUGGCCUGGGGCUCUCCCUCACCUUGGCCUCCACUGUGUUCUUUCUCCAUGGUGGAAGUCAGAGCCCCUCCUCGGACUCUGAGCAGCCAGGCCGUCUCAAAUUCUGAGCUGUGCUCUGCGCCCUGCUGGUGCCUUGUGAAAGUAUGUUCCAUACAGACCCUGGAAGGUUAUGACAGUCAAAGGUUAAGGGUGAGGACGCUCUUGCACUUGGCACAAAAGGAUCCUUAAUUCCAACUUCCUCAGUGAGACAGGCCACCCUGAGUCCAUUGUUUCUUGGAGACUAGUAGCCGAAACCAUAAGAUCCAUCACUUGUGCUGGACCCCUCUAGGUGUUUGUGGAAGGUGCUUUGGAACCGCAUGAGCUGCAAGGAAAAGGACUUGGCGUUUCGUGUGUGGUAUUUCCUCCUUGUCCGGGGACCUAAGUUGCUGGCCUGGGAAGUGGGCCUUGAUUCACUCUCCACCUUCCAUGGAUCAGCUGUGCGUCAUCUGUGCCUCAGAUCUGGGGAGUCCAGAGCCUUGUUCUCCUGCUUGGAAGAUUUGGAGGACUAAGUGUUUCAGAGUGCUUCAUUGUUCCCCAAAUGAACUGCCGCUUAGCCAUAUCCUUCACGACAAGGCCUGGAAAUCACGACACCAACGAGGGAAACCAGCCGGGCCCACGUGCAGUGAUUGAGCGACAACUCAGUGGAUGUCUCAGAGCCAUCGCAGUCUCCCUGCCAAGUGUUAGCAGUGGUUUGGUUGUUUCCUACCUUUGUACCCUAAGGAUCCAGAGGUCUGGAGACCUUCUCGAAUAUGUCUGUGCUUCAGGAGAAUUCAGCUGGAAGUAAGCAGCUUGGGUAGCUUCUCCAGAUCUCUGCUGCCUCUGAGCAUUUACUCUCAUUUUACUGCCCAGGAACACCCAGAUACACUUCUGCUUCUUAGCCUUGAAAAAUAGACACGUUCCUUGUUGUGACCAAUGAAACAGGAGGGGAAAAAUGGAAGAAAGAAGGGUGUUGUUCAUGACUCCGUUGCACUGUGGGCUCUGGACUGUGAACUUUGGUGCCUCUGGGCAAACGCUGGACGCAGUGAAACAGAACUUGCUCCUGUCUUAAGGUAUCCUUGGACAAAAGUGCUCAAGCCAAAAGUAAGCCUGUCCAAAGGGAGGCUCUGUUCCAAGAACAGUUGAUGAAUUUGGAAUCUGCUAAUGCCUCAUCUGGGACGCACAGUCAUUGGUUUGUGUAUUUCCAGCACAUUCCUCUGUCUCAGCUCCGUCCCAGCUGAGCGCACAGCAGCUGUGUCUGCCUGACACAGAGAUAGUCUCUGUGCGGCUGGAACUCUGCUCUUGGCCUUCCUGGUGUUUUUCACCUUUCCCUGUGUAUUAUUAAGAUUGGGACCAAUAGUAAUCAUUUACUGCAAGCACUUUCAUUUUUGUGUCACUCAUUUCUGUAAAAUCCAGGCAAUGACCACUGUACGGUGCUUGAACACAGUGCCCAGGACGGCAGCAGAACUGGUCAGUGGCCAGGCAGCCCUCUUGCUUGCUGUAUAUGCUCAUUUGUCAGCAGUGUUUGAAAGUGAAUUCAGACCAAAGUGUGGUUGCUAAGCAUGGGUCUCUACUCUGUGUACACUGUCCCAAGGGAAUUUCUUACACCCCUGUAAGUGUGUAAGAAGUUAAACACAUGUGCUGUCAUUCUAAUGUACCAGGCAUAUUAUUUAUAAAACAAUUUUUUCCUAA